UACGUAGGGCGCAAGCGUUGUCCGGAAUUAUUGGGCGUAAAGAGCUCGUAGGCGGCUUGUCACGUCGGGUGUGAAAGCCCGGGGCUUAACCCCGGGUCUGCAUUCGAUACGGGCUAGCUAGAGUGUGGUAGGGGAGAUCGGAAUUCCUGGUGUAGCGGUGAAAUGCGUAGAUAUCGGGAGGAACACCAGUGGCGAAGGCGACUUCCUGGCCUGUUCUUGACGCUGAGGCGCGAAAGCUAGGGGAGCAAACGGG
This 253-nucleotide ribosomal RNA is filed under the name uncultured bacterium. RNAcentral's name for it is "partial 16S ribosomal RNA". It matches the Rfam family "Bacterial small subunit ribosomal RNA", at positions 524 to 776 of the family's 1533-position model. The record is from RNAcentral.